AGAGCUCAAAUUUGAAAGCUGGCGUCUUCGGCGUCCGCGUUGUAAUCUCGAGACGUGUUUUCCGUGCGGCUCUAUGGACAAGUCCCUUGGAACAGGGCAUCGUAGAGGGUGAAAAUCCCGUACUUGCCAUGGAAGUACCGUGCUUUGUGAUACACGCUCCAAGAGUCGAGUAGUUUGGGAUUGCUGCUCAAAGUGGGUGGUAGACUCCAUCUAAAGCUAAAUAUCGGGGAGAGACCGAUAGCGAACAAGUACCGUGAGGGAAAGAUGAAAAGCACUUUGGAAAGAGAGUUAAAAGUACGUGAAAUUGUCGAAAGGGAAGCACUUGAAGUCAGCCAUGCUGCUUGAGACUCAGCCUGGCUUUUGCUUGGUGUAUUUCUCGGUAGCAAGCCAGCAUUGGUUUGUGUCGUCGGAGAAGCGUAUGGGGAAUGUGGCAUCCUCGGAUGUGUUAUAGCCCUGUGCAGGAUACGACGACGUAGACCAAGGAACGCAGUGUGCCCUCUGGGCGGGUCUUCG
This 513-nucleotide ribosomal RNA is filed under the name Malassezia restricta. Its description in RNAcentral is "partial large subunit ribosomal RNA". It matches the Rfam family "Eukaryotic large subunit ribosomal RNA", at positions 104 to 621 of the family's 3401-position model. The record is from RNAcentral. Lineage: Eukaryota; Fungi; Basidiomycota; Malasseziomycetes; Malasseziales; Malasseziaceae.